This is a non-coding RNA of Ktedonobacter racemifer DSM 44963, 250 nucleotides long. It matches the Rfam family "HNH endonuclease-associated RNA and ORF (HEARO) RNA". Lineage: Bacteria; Bacillati; Chloroflexota; Ktedonobacteria; Ktedonobacterales; Ktedonobacteraceae. The record is from Rfam.
GUGAACUACCACAGAACCACGUCUUCAGUGACUUCCGAAGAAGCCACUGAAGACGUGGUUCUGUAGCUUCUUCGGGAGCCUGAGUUCACCAGACUCGUUUCCAGAAAUGGGAACGGCGUUCGAUUGGUCAUGACACCUGCGGUUGACGCAUCAGACCGCUGCUCUGUCGCUGAGAGUUAAGUAGGCUUGAGGUAAGGGCUGGUGCUCUCGGCGUAAAAAGCCUCUUGAACAUUGUCGAGAUGAAGCCGGA